Molecule: ribosomal RNA, 422 nt
Filed under: uncultured archaeon
Lineage: Archaea
Description: partial 16S ribosomal RNA
Rfam family: Archaeal small subunit ribosomal RNA
Source: RNAcentral
CUACGGGCCGCUGCAGGCGCGAAACCUCUUCAAUGCACGACAGUGUGAAAGGGGGAUCCUACGUGCUCAUGUUAUGCAUGGGCUUUUGUAAAGCGUAAAUAACUUUACGAAUAAGGGGUGGGAAAGACCGGUGCCAGCAGCCGCGGUAACACCGGCGCCUCGAGUGGCAAUCGUUAUUAUUGGGCCUAAAGCAUCCGUAGCCGGAUGAGUAAAUUUUCUGUGAAAUCUCUCAGCUUAACUGAGAGGCGUGCAGAAAAGACUGCUUAUCUAGAGACCGGGAGGAGUUAGAGGUAUUCUGAGGGGAGCGGUAAAAUGUUAUAAUCCUCGGAAGACCACCGAUGGCGAAGGCAUCUAACUAGAACGGAUCUGACGGUGAGGGAUGAAGGCCAGGGGAGCAAAACGGAUUAGAUACCCUGGUAGUC